This 306-nucleotide unclassified non-coding RNA is filed under the name Hevea brasiliensis (rubber tree). Lineage: Eukaryota; Viridiplantae; Streptophyta; Magnoliopsida; Malpighiales; Euphorbiaceae. The record is from RNAcentral.
GUCUAUUUGUGGUGAUGAUGGCCUGAGGGAGAUUUCAUCUCCAGGGAAAAGUGGCAGUAUCUUCUAUCUUUCUCUUGAUGAUAGAUUUGUGAUUAAAACAUUGAAGAAAUCUGAACUCAAGUUUUUUCUCAAGAUGCUGCCCGACUAUUACCGUCAUGUAGGAAAGCAUGAAAAUACUCUAAUAACAAAAUUUUUUGGGGUCCAUCGAAUAAAACUAAGAGGUGGAAAAAAGGUGCGCUUUGUGGUCAUGGGGAAUAUGUUUUGCACUGAAUUAAGAAUUCAUCGACGUUAUGAUUUGAAGGGGCA